Molecule: ribosomal RNA, 273 nt
Filed under: uncultured bacterium
Lineage: Bacteria
Description: partial 16S ribosomal RNA
Rfam family: Bacterial small subunit ribosomal RNA
Source: RNAcentral
UACGAAGGUCCCGAGCGUUGUUCGGAAUCACUGGGCGUAAAGGGAGCGUAGGCGGCGUGGUAAGUCAGAUGUGAAAUCCCGGGGCUCAACCCCGGAACUGCAUCCGAUACUGCCGUGCUAGAGGAUUGGAGAGGUAGCUGGAAUUCACGGUGUAGCAGUGAAAUGCGUGGAUAUCGUGAGGAACACUCGUGGCGAAAGCGAGCUACUGGACAACUCCUGACGCUGAGGCUCGAAGGCCAGGGUAGCGAAAGGGAUUAGAUACCCGCGUAGUCC